GCCGGGUGCAGUGGCACAUGCCUGUAGUCCCACCUACUUGGGAGGCUGAGGUGGGAGGAUUUCCCGAGUCCAGGAGUUCUGGGCUGUAGUGUUUUGCUGAUUGGGUGUCCGAACUAAGUUCAGCAUCACUAUGGUGACCUCCAGGAGUGAGGGACCACCAGGUUGCCUAAGGAGGGGUGAACCAGUUCAGACUGGAAAUGGAGCAGGUCAAAACUCCUGUGCUGGUCAGUAGUGGGAUCGUACCUGUGAAUAGCCACUGCACUCCAGCCUGGGCAACAUAGCAAGAUCCGGUCUCU
This 296-nucleotide signal recognition particle RNA is filed under the name Saimiri boliviensis boliviensis (Bolivian squirrel monkey). RNAcentral's name for it is "Metazoan signal recognition particle RNA (ENSSBOG00000009479.1)". It matches the Rfam family "Metazoan signal recognition particle RNA". Rfam says of the family: The signal recognition particle (SRP) is a universally conserved ribonucleoprotein. It is involved in the co-translational targeting of proteins to membranes. The record is from RNAcentral. Lineage: Eukaryota; Metazoa; Chordata; Mammalia; Primates; Cebidae.